RNAcentral lists this ribosomal RNA (273 nucleotides) under Triticum aestivum (bread wheat). RNAcentral describes it as "partial small subunit ribosomal RNA". The record is from RNAcentral. Lineage: Eukaryota; Viridiplantae; Streptophyta; Magnoliopsida; Poales; Poaceae.
AUGUGGCCGUCGCCGCCGUCAUGGGAGGGCGCUGCCAGGGUGACCAAGACGGCGUCCGAGGAGCCCCCACUUGCCGUGUACGUCGUCGACGCCGUGCUGGUGGCGAGCCAUGUGCGACGGCUACUGGAUGGGGGCGACGAGGUGGCUGGUGACGCUGGUCUGGGCUGGUUGGACUACCGCAUGCCGCUCUGGGUAACCCUGCUACUCGUGGCCGUGGCGAACCUGGGGAACAUGGCGGACACCUUGAUCAGAUUUCUUGUCACCUUCAACUGA